GACGAACGCUGGCGGCGUGCCUAAUACAUGCAAGUUGAGCGCUGAAGGUUGGUACUUGUACCGACUGGAUGAGCAGCGCACGGGUGAGUAACGCGUGGGGAAUCUGCCUUUGAGCGGGGGACAACAUUUGGAAACGAAUGCUAAUACCGCAUAAAAACUUUAAACACAAGUUUUAAGUUUGAAAGAUGCAAUUGCAUCACUCAAAGAUGAUCCCGCGUUGUAUUAGCUAGUUGGUGAGGUAAAGGCUCACCAGGGCGAGGAUACAUAGCCGACCUGAGAGGGUGAUCGGCCACAUUGGGACGGAGACACGGCCCAAACUCCUACGGGAGGCAGCAGUAGGGAAUCUUCGGCGAUGGAGGAAAGUCUGACCGAGCAACGCCGCGUGAGUGAAGAAGGUUUUCGGAUCGUAAAACUCUGUUGGUAGAGAAGAACGUUGGUGAGAGUGGAAAGCUCAUCAAGUGACGGUAACUACCCAGAAAGGGACGGCUAACUACGUG
Molecule: ribosomal RNA, 497 nt
Filed under: uncultured bacterium
Lineage: Bacteria
Description: partial 16S ribosomal RNA
Rfam family: Bacterial small subunit ribosomal RNA
Source: RNAcentral